AUGGAGCGGUGUGUAUUAGGCAUGAAGUCGCACGUGAUCCUGGUUUCGGCUAGGUGAAAGUGGCGAAAGGGUGAGUAGUGCAUAGAUCACCAACCCCCGACUCCGGGAUAACUGGGGGAAACUUCAGCUAAUACCGGAUGGGCUCGGGAGGACUCAUGUCCUGCCGAGUAAAGGUGGCCUCUUGACAAUGCUCCCGAUUGGGGACGGGUCUAUGUCCUAUCAGCUAGUUGGUGAGGUAAUGGCCCACCAAGGCGACGACGGGUAGCCGACCUGAGAGGGUGACCGGCCACACUGGGACUGAGACACUGCCCAGACUCCUACGGGAGGCUGCAGUCGAGGAUCUUCCGCAAUGGGGGCAACCCCGACGGAGCGACGCCGCGUGCGGGAUGAAGGCCUUCGGGUUGUAAACCGCUGUCACAGGUUAAGAAAGGGUCGUGCGACAAUAUCGCCCGGCCUUGACAAAGGCUUGAGAGGAAGCCACGGCUAACUUCGUGCCAGCAGCCGCGGUAAGACGAAGGUGGCGACCGUUGUUCGGAAUCACUGGGCAUAAAGAGCACGUAGGCGGGGAGGUAAGUCGGGUGUGAAAGCCCUCGGCCCAACCGGGGAAUUGCGCCCGAAACUGCGUCCCUUGAGGGCAGGAGGGGAGCGUGGAAUUCCUGGUGGAGCGGUGAAAUGCGUUGAUAUCAGGAGGAACACCGGCGGCGAAGGCGACGCUCUGGUCUGCUUCUGACGCUGAGGUGCGAAAGCCAGGGGAGCAAACGGGAUUAGAUACCCCGGUAGUCCUGGCCGUAAACGAUGGGCACUAGGCAGGGGGGGACCCAAUGCCUCUCUGCUGCAGAAAAUUUGUUAAGUGCCCCCGCCUGGCGAGUAUAGUCGCAAGGCUG
RNAcentral lists this ribosomal RNA (884 nucleotides) under uncultured bacterium. RNAcentral's name for it is "bacterial SSU rRNA". It matches the Rfam family "Bacterial small subunit ribosomal RNA", at positions 33 to 896 of the family's 1533-position model. The record is from RNAcentral.